UAGAGUUUGAUCAUGGCUCAGGAUGAACGCUAGCGGCAGGCUUAACACAUGCAAGUCGAGGGGCAUCGGGAGGGAAGCUUGCUUUCCUUGCCGGCGACCGGCGCACGGGUGAGUAACACGUAUGCAACCUGCCCUCUUCAGGGGGACAACCUUCCGAAGGGAGGCUAAUCCCGCGUAUAUCGGUUUCGGGCAUCCGAGAUCGAGGAAAGAUUCAUCGGAAGAGGAUGGGCAUGCGGCGCAUUAGCUUGACGGCGGGGUAACGGCCCACCGUGGCGACGAUGCGUAGGGGUUCUGAGAGGAAGGUCCCCCACACUGGUACUGAGACACGGACCAGACUCCUACGGGAGGCAGCAGUGAGGAAUAUUGGUCAAUGGGAGAGAUCCUGAACCAGCCAAGCCGCGUGAGGGAAGACGGCCCUAUGGGUUGUAAACCUCUUUUGUCGGAGAACAAAACCCGGGACGUGUCCCGGACUGCGUGUAUCCGAAGAAAAAGCAUCGGCUAACUCCGUGCCAGCAGCCGCGGUAAUACGGAGGAUGCGAGCGUUAUCCGGAUUUAUUGGGUUUAAAGGGUGCGUAGGCGGUCCGUUAAGUCAGCGGUAAAAUUGCGGGGCUCAACCCCGUCGAGCCGUUGAAACUGGCAGACUUGAGUUGGCGAGAAGUACGCGGAAUGCGCGGUGUAGCGGUGAAAUGCAUAGAUAUCGCGCAGAACUCCGAUUGCGAAGGCAGCGUACCGGCGCCACACUGACGCUGAGGCACGAAAGCGUGGGGAUCGAACAGGAUUAGAUACCCUGGUA
This 793-nucleotide ribosomal RNA is filed under the name uncultured bacterium. RNAcentral's name for it is "bacterial SSU rRNA". It matches the Rfam family "Bacterial small subunit ribosomal RNA", at positions 1 to 792 of the family's 1533-position model. The record is from RNAcentral.